ACGGGUGAGUAAUGUCUGGGGAUCUGCCCGAUAGAGGGGGAUAACCACUGGAAACGGUGGCUAAUACCGCAUAACGUCGCAAGACCAAAGAGGGGGACCUUCGGGCCUCUCACUAUCGGAUGAACCCAGAUGGGAUUAGCUAGUAGGCGGGGUAAUGGCCCACCUAGGCGACGAUCCCUAGCUGGUCUGAGAGGAUGACCAGCCACACUGGAACUGAGACACGGUCCAGACUCCUACGGGAGGCAGCAGUGGGGAAUAUUGCACAAUGGGCGCAAGCCUGAUGCAGCCAUGCCGCGUGUAUGAAGAAGGCCUUCGGGUUGUAAAGUACUUUCAGCGGGGAGGAAGGCGAUGGGGUUAAUAACCCUGUCGAUUGACGUUACCCGCAGAAGAAGCACCGGCUAACUCCGUGCCAGCAGCCGCGGUAAUACGGAGGGUGCAAGCGUUAAUCGGAAUUACUGGGCGUAAAGCGCACGCAGGCGGUCUGUUAAGUCAGAUGUGAAAUCCCCGGGCUUAACCUGGGAACUGCAUUUGAAACUGGCAGGCUUGAGUCUUGUAGAGGGGGGUAGAAUUCCAGGUGUAGCGG
This 583-nucleotide ribosomal RNA is filed under the name uncultured bacterium. RNAcentral describes it as "bacterial SSU rRNA". It matches the Rfam family "Bacterial small subunit ribosomal RNA", at positions 102 to 681 of the family's 1533-position model. The record is from RNAcentral.